AGUGCAGUGAAGUCAGACCGGAAGGACUGGUGGAGCGCUUAGAAGUGAGAAUGCCGGUAUGAGUAGCGAAAGACGGGUGAGAAUCCCGUCCACCGAAUGCCUAAGGUUUCCUGAGGAAGGCUCGUCCGCUCAGGGUUAGUCAGGACCUAAGCCGAGGCCGACAGGCGUAGGCGAUGGACAACAGGUUGAUAUUCCUGUACCACCUCUUUAUCGUUUGAGCAAUGGAGGGAC
RNAcentral lists this ribosomal RNA (231 nucleotides) under Bacillus cereus group sp. N6. RNAcentral's name for it is "partial 23S ribosomal RNA". It matches the Rfam family "Bacterial large subunit ribosomal RNA", at positions 1244 to 1473 of the family's 2925-position model. Lineage: Bacteria; Bacillati; Bacillota; Bacilli; Caryophanales; Bacillaceae. The record is from RNAcentral.